Long non-coding RNA from Sinocyclocheilus anshuiensis, 115 nucleotides. RefSeq lists it as uncharacterized. The transcript is spliced from 3 exons. Lineage: Eukaryota; Metazoa; Chordata; Actinopteri; Cypriniformes; Cyprinidae. The record is from RefSeq and is a predicted model, not a curated record.
CUGAGGGAGAGAGAGGUGUGGUUUGAAAGUUACACUUUACACACACCUAUCUAAGUGUUAGUCAGAUGCUAACAGCUAGCAGUUGAGGUAAAGGGCUUAGCUUAGCCUGUAUGGC